Molecule: ribosomal RNA, 468 nt
Filed under: uncultured bacterium
Lineage: Bacteria
Description: partial 16S ribosomal RNA
Rfam family: Bacterial small subunit ribosomal RNA
Source: RNAcentral
GACGAACGCUGGCGGCGUGCUUAACACAUGCAAGUCGAACGGAAAGGCCCUGCUUUUGUGGGGUGCUCGAGUGGCGAACGGGUGAGUAACACGUGAGUAACCUGCCCUUUACUUUGGGAUAACUUCAGGAAACUGGGGCUACUACCGGAUCGGAGCUCCUGCUGCAUGGUGGGGGUUGGAAAGUUUCGGCGGUUGGGGAUGGACUCGCGGCUUAUCAGCUUGUUGGUGGGGUAGUGGCUUACCAAGGCUUUGACGGGUAGCCGGCCUGAGAGGGUGACCGGCCACAUUGGGACUGAGAUACGGCCCAGACUCCUACGGGAGGCAACAGUGGGGAAUAUUACACAAUGGGCGGAAGCCUGAUGCAGCAACGACGCGUGCGGGAUGACGGCCUUCGGGGUGUAAACCGCUUUCGCCUGAGACGAAGCGUGAGUGACGGUAAUGGGUAAAGAAGCACCGGCUAACUACGUG